AGUGAACGCUGGCGGUAGGCCUAACACAUGCAAGUCGAACGGCAGCACAGUAAGAGCUUGCUCUUACGGGUGGCGAGUGGCGGACGGGUGAGGAAUACAUCGGAAUCUACUUUUUCGUGGGGGAUAACGUAGGGAAACUUACGCUAAUACCGCAUACGACCUACGGGUGAAAGCAGGGGAUCUUCGGAACUUGCGCGAUUGAAUGAGCCGAUGUCGGAUUAGCUGGUUGGCGGGGUAAAGGCCCACCAAGGCGACGAUCCGUAGCUGGUCUGAGAGGAUGAUCAGCCACACUAGAACUGAGACACGGUCCAGACUCCUACGGGAGGCAGCAGUGGGGAAUAUUGGACAAUGGGCGCAAGCCUGAUCCAGCCAUACCGCGUGGGUGAAGAAGGCCUUCGGGUUGUAAAGCCCUUUUGUUGGGAAAGAAAAGCAGCAGGUUAAUACCCCGCUGUUCUGACGGUACCCAAAGAAUAAGCACCGGCUAACUUCGUG
Molecule: ribosomal RNA, 492 nt
Filed under: uncultured bacterium
Lineage: Bacteria
Description: partial 16S ribosomal RNA
Rfam family: Bacterial small subunit ribosomal RNA
Source: RNAcentral